RNAcentral lists this long non-coding RNA (299 nucleotides) under Cyanistes caeruleus (blue tit). Its description in RNAcentral is "lncRNA (ENSCCEG00000016468.1)". The record is from RNAcentral. Lineage: Eukaryota; Metazoa; Chordata; Aves; Passeriformes; Paridae.
AGUCCUUUCCCUCUUCCCUUCCCUACCCUGCUGCUCCUGCUGGCAGGAGGCUGUGGAGCACCCAGGAUUACAGUUGAGUGACUUGGACAAGAAAUGUGCCCAAGCUUUUUUUCCUUCCCAGUUUCUGCAAGGACAGUGACUGCCUAAGUGGAAGAGCAACCAUUGAUUCCUCGAUUUUCCCAGAGGAGGCAGCUGAAGGUUCUUUCUGUUAGAGCUGGUUUCUCUGAAAAACACCGAAAGAAGACAAAAGGGAGAAAAGCAAUUCUGAAACAAAGAGCAAAAGGGUAUGUUUUCAAAAA